Molecule: ribosomal RNA, 496 nt
Filed under: uncultured bacterium
Lineage: Bacteria
Description: partial 16S ribosomal RNA
Rfam family: Bacterial small subunit ribosomal RNA
Source: RNAcentral
AUGAACGCUGGCGGCGUGCCUAAUACAUGCAAGUCGAGCGAACGGACGAGAAGCUUGCUUCUCUGAUGUUAGCGGCGGACGGGUGAGUAACACGUGGAUAACCUACCUAUAAGACUGGGAUAACUUCGGGAAACCGGAGCUAAUACCGGAUAAUAUUUUGAACCGCAUGGUCCAAAAGUGAAAGACGGUCUUGCUGUCACUUAUAGAUGGAUCCGCGCUGCAUUAGCUAGUUGGUAAGGUAACGGCUUACCAAGGCAACGAUGCAUAGCCGACCUGAGAGGGUGAUCGGCCACACUGGAACUGAGACACGGUCCAGACUCCUACGGGAGGCAGCAGUAGGGAAUCUUCCGCAAUGGGCGAAAGCCUGACGGAGCAACGCCGCGUGAGUGAUGAAGGUCUUCGGAUCGUAAAACUCUGUUAUUAGGGAAGAACAUAUGUGUAAGUAACUGUGCACAUCUUGACGGUACCUAAUCAGAAAGCCACGGCUAACUACGUG